GACGAACGCUGGCGGCGUGCCUAAUACAUGCAAGUUGAGCGCUGAAGGUUGGUACUUGUACCAACUGGAUGAGCAGCGAACGGGUGAGUAACGCGUGGGGAAUCUGCCUUUGAGCGGGGGACAACAUUUGGAAACGAAUGCUAAUACCGCAUAAAAACUUUAAACACAAGUUUUAAGUUUGAAAGAUGCAAUUGCAUCACUCAAAGAUGAUCCCGCGUUGUAUUAGCUAGUUGGUGAGGUAAAGGCUCACCAAGGCGAUGAUACAUAGCCGACCUGAGAGGGUGAUCGGCCACACUGGGACUGAGACACGGCACAAACUCCUACGGGAGGCAGCAGUAGGGAAUCUUCGGCAAUGGACGAAAGUCUGACCGAGCAACGCCGCGUGAGUGAAGAAGGUUUUCGGAUCGUAAAACUCUGUUGGUAGAGAAGAACGUUGGUGAGAGUGGAAAGCUCAUCAAGUGACGGUAACUACCCAGAAAGGGACGGCUAACUACGUG
RNAcentral lists this ribosomal RNA (497 nucleotides) under uncultured bacterium. RNAcentral's name for it is "partial 16S ribosomal RNA". It matches the Rfam family "Bacterial small subunit ribosomal RNA", at positions 28 to 507 of the family's 1533-position model. The record is from RNAcentral.